RNAcentral lists this transfer-messenger RNA (349 nucleotides) under Acidimicrobiaceae. RNAcentral describes it as "SCQM01 sp021810525 Standard tmRNA". It matches the Rfam family "transfer-messenger RNA". From Rfam's summary of the family: Bacterial tmRNA, also known as 10Sa RNA or SsrA, is named for its dual tRNA and mRNA-like properties. Its role is to liberate the mRNA from a stalled ribosome. Lineage: Bacteria; Bacillati; Actinomycetota; Acidimicrobiia; Acidimicrobiales. RNAcentral also lists the same sequence under 1 other name. The record is from RNAcentral.
GGGGGUGACAGGUUUCGACUUUGGCUAUCGAUGCAGGAGAAGCGAGCCGUGGUUUCCGGAUCCACGUAAAAGAGUCGGAACAAGCAAUAAACGACGAGUCACAACUCCCUCUCGCUGCAUAAACAGCGACGUUCAGCCGUUCUAAGCCCCACAGGGCGGAUCUGUGCGACGAAUAGUGGGGCUUGCGACGGAUGUUCUUCCCAGAGACAGCCGCUGGACACCUUUUUGGGAUAAGCCUUCGGGUAGGCGAUAGAGGUUGCCGAAGGUCGAAAAUUACUCUCUAUCUGUGCUCGAAGAAGCCCUGCUGAGAAACUGAAGGAAACGAGUUCGAGUCUCGUCACCUCCACUC